Pseudomonas putida is the source of this 89-nucleotide non-coding RNA. The record is from Rfam. NCBI's taxonomy places the organism in Bacteria, Pseudomonadati, Pseudomonadota, Gammaproteobacteria, Pseudomonadales, Pseudomonadaceae.
CUUUAUGGCGGCUGUACGUGUGGGCGCCUUUGGGCGCGCCGGGUUUGCUCAUUGACCGGUCUGCUAACCCACGUACAGUCGCCACCCUU